UAGUCCCACUGAUGGUAAAAUGAAAGCUUACGUCAGCCUCAGUUAUCAUGACACUGAGUUUACCAUGUUUUUCUAGGCUCUAUUGUUGACUUUAUGUAGAUGUUUUGUGCACAGUUAUGGAACAAGUUCUGUCUUUUUUGAACAGGUUAGUUGUGGGCGAGUUGUGUGUUUCAGUCCAUCUGCACAUGCAUCCUAGCCGAGCUCCAGCUCGUCUGACGCCGUAACAACGCUUUGUUUACAAGGGAUUCUGCUGGAGGAGCGAAGUUAAAGUCAAACGAUUCUUUCUCAGAUAUUAUCCACCAGGUAUCAUCCUGGAAUAUGAAAAAGGAGGAGCUUUGAAGACUAAAUUCAUUGAUUUGUUGGAUUUGUCUCCAGUACAGAAGAACCAGGACCUCCGGGAGGUGUUCAGCAAGGCCUUAUGACUGCAGGAUUGACCUUCUCCCUAGCACGACUCCGCUCCGAGGUUGACUGUACUGUCUGUCGGGACCAGAGACCAAGGCGAUGGAGACCUACAUUUGCGGACUCCCUUGCUGCAGGAUUCAUCCAUCCUUCUUCUUCUCCCGUCCGUGCAGGGUUCUUCUUUGUGGAGAAGAAAGACAAGACCUGCGCCCGUGGACCUGCACCCGUGGAUCGACUACCGGGGUCUCAAUGACAUAACGAUUAAGAUCCGCUACUCACUACCACUCAUCUCCUCGGCCUUCGAGCCGCUCCAGGGGGCCAUCAUGUUUUCCAAGCUGGAUCUACGGAACGCCUAUCACCUGGUGCAGAUACGGGAAGGGGACGAGUGGCAGACCGCCUUCAACACGGCCAGUGGUCACUACGAGUAUCUGGUCAUGCCAUUUGGCCUUACCAACGUCCUUGCUGUGUUCCAGGCUCUGGUCAAUGAUGUUCUACCUAGAUGACAUCCUCAUCUUCUCCCGUUCCACUCAAGAACAUGUGCUUCAUGACAGGUUCUCCAAUGCAUCCUGGAGGCUGUUUAAAUUUUUGUUUUGUUUUAAUUGAAUUCCCCACCCCCAUUCCCCACCCUCAUUCCCCACCCCCAUUCCCCACUCCAAUUCCCCACCCCCAUUCCCCACCCUCAUUCCCCACUC
Long non-coding RNA from Oncorhynchus gorbuscha (pink salmon), 1091 nucleotides. RefSeq lists it as uncharacterized. The record is from RefSeq and is a predicted model, not a curated record. NCBI's taxonomy places the organism in Eukaryota, Metazoa, Chordata, Actinopteri, Salmoniformes, Salmonidae. The transcript has 3 exons.